This 492-nucleotide ribosomal RNA is filed under the name uncultured bacterium. RNAcentral's name for it is "partial 16S ribosomal RNA". It matches the Rfam family "Bacterial small subunit ribosomal RNA", at positions 29 to 507 of the family's 1533-position model. The record is from RNAcentral.
AGUGAACGCUGGCGGUAGGCCUAACACAUGCAAGUCGAACCGCAGCACAGUAAGAGCUUGCUCUUACGGGUGGCGAGUGGCGGACGGGUGAGGAAUUCAUCGGAAUCUACUUUUUCGUGGGGGAUAACGUAGGGAAACUUACGCUAAUACCGCAUACGACCUACGGGUGAAAGCAGGGGAUCUUCGGACCUUGCGCGAUUGAAUGAGCCGAUGUCGGAUUAGCUAGUUGGCGGGGUAAAGGCCCACCAAGGCGACGAUCCGUAGCUGGUCUGAGAGGAUGAUCAGCCACACUGGAACUGAGACACGGUCCAGACUCCUACGGGAGGCAGCAGUGGGGAAUAUUGGACAAUGGGCGCAAGCCUGAUCCAGCCAUACCGCGUGGGUGAAGAAGGACUUCGGGUUGUAAAGCCCUUUUGUUGGGAAAGAAAAGCAGCAGGUUAAUACCCCGCUGUUCUGACGGUACCCAAAGAAUAAGCACCGGCUAACUUCGUG